UCUGGUUGAUCCUGCCUGAACUGAUGUGUUUAUUUCAAAGAUUAAGCCAUGCAUGUAUAAGUUUAAUCGUUUAUCGAGAAACCGCGAACGGCUCAUUAGAAUGGCCAUUAUUUACUUGAUCUUGAUUGUCUAAAUGGAUAACUGUGGAAAAGCUAGAGCUAAUACAUGCACUAAAGCUUUGUCCUUACGGAAAAGCGCAUUUAUUAGAACAAAACCACGCGGCUUCGGCUGCUUCUUGUUGACUCAGAAUAACUUAGCUGACCGCAUGGCCUUGUGCCGGCGGCGUGUCUUUCAAGCGUCCACUUUAUCAACUUGACGGGAGCAUAAUCGACUCCCGUGGUGGUGACGGAUAACGGAGGAUCAGGGUUCGACUCCGGAGAAGGGGCCUGAGAAAUGGCCACUACGUCUAAGGAUGGCAGCAGGCGCGCAAAUUACCCACUCUCGGCUCCAGGAGGUAGUGACGAGAAAUAACGAGACUGUUCUCUUUGAGGCCGGUCAUCGGAAUGGGUACAAUUUAAACCCUUUAACGAGUAUCAAGCAGAGGGCAAGUCUGGUGCCAGCAGCCGCGGUAAUUCCAGCUCUGCAAAUACAUAGAAUUAUUGCUGCGGUUAGAAAGCUCAUAGUUGGAUUCGUAUCGAUACCUUGGAACCCUUCGGGUGUCUCUAGGUGUUAUCGAUUUAUCGUAAUGUUCGGUUUUGAGUCCUUAACAGGAUUCUUAACAGGCAUUGCAAGUUUACUUUGAACAAAUCAGAGUGCUUCAAACAGGCGUUUUCGCUUGAAUGAUCGUGCAUGGAAUAAUAGAAAAUGAUUUCGGUUCAGUUUUAUUGGUUUUACGGACUGAGAUAAUGGUUAACAGAGACAAACGGGGGCAUUUGUAUGGUCCCGUGAGAGGUGAAAUUCUUGGACCGUGGCCAGACAAACUACAGCGAAAGCAUUUGCCAAGAAUGUUUUUAUUAAUCAAGAACGAAAGUCAGAGGUUCGAAGGCGAUCAGAUACCGCCCUAGUUCUGACCGUAAACGAUGCCAACUAGCUAUCCGCCGAUGGAAAUUAUAUUGCCUUGGUGGGGAGCUUCCCGGAAACGAAAGUCUUCCGGUUCCGGGGGAAGUAUGGUUGCAAAGCUGAAACUUAAAGGAGUUGACGGAAGGGCACCACCAGGAGUGGAGCCUGCGGCUUAAUUUGACUCAACACGGGGAAACUCACCCGGCCCGGACACUGUGAGGAUUGACAGAUUGAUAGCUUUUUCAUGAUUCAGUGGAUGGUGGUGCAUGGCCGUUCUUAGUUCGUGGAGUGAUUUGUCUGGUUUAUUCCGAUAACGAGCGAGACUCUAACCUACUAAAUAGUUGGUACAUACUCUUAGUGUAUACAGCUUCUUAGAGGGAUUUGCGGCGUUCAGCCGAAAGAAAUUGAGCAAUAACAGGUCUGUGAUGCCCUUAGAUGUCCGGGGCUGCACGCGCGCUACACUGGCAAAAUCAACGUGCUUGUCCUACCCUGAAAGGGGCGGGUAAACCAUUGAAAAUUUGCCGUGAUUGGGAUCGGAAAUUGCAAUUAUUUUCCGUGAACGAGGAAUUCCAAGUAAGUGCGAGUCAUCAGCUCGCGUUGAUUACGUCCCUGCCCUUUGUACACACCGCCCGUCGCUGCCCGGGACUGAGCCAUUUCGAGAAAUUUGGGGACCGUUGAUUUAAUUUUUCUAAAUUACUUUGAUGGAAACCAAUUUAAUCGCAGUGGCUUGAACCGGGCAAAAGUCGUAACAAGGUAGCUGUAGGUGAACCUGCUGCUG
RNAcentral lists this ribosomal RNA (1777 nucleotides) under Meloidogyne arenaria. RNAcentral's name for it is "SSU rRNA". It matches the Rfam family "Eukaryotic small subunit ribosomal RNA". The record is from RNAcentral. Lineage: Eukaryota; Metazoa; Nematoda; Chromadorea; Rhabditida; Meloidogynidae.